GAGGAAUAUUGGUCAAUGGACGGAAGUCUGAGCCAGCCAAGUAGCGUGCAGGAUGACGGCCCUAUGGGUUGUAAACUGCUUUUGUAUGGGGAUAAAGUUAGGGACGUGUCCCUAUUUGCAGGUAUCAUACGAAUAAGGACCGGCUAAUUCCGUGCCAGCAGCCGCGGUAAUACGGAAGGUCCAGGCGUUAUCCGGAUUUAUUGGGUUUAAAGGGAGCGUAGGCUGGAGAUUAAGUGUGUUGUGAAAUGUAGACGCUCAACGUCUGAAUUGCAGCGCAUACUGGUUUCCUUGAGUACGCACAACGUUGGCGGAAUUCGUCGUGUAGCGGUGAAAUGCUUAGAUAUGACGAAGAACUCCGAUUGCGAAGGCAGCUGACGGGAGCGCAACUGACGCUUAAGCUCGAAGGUGCGGGUAUCAAACAGGAUUAGAUACCCUGGUAGUCCGCACAGUAAACGAUGGAUGCCCGCUGUUGGUACCUGGUAUCAGCGGCUAAGCGAAAGCAUUAAGCAUCCCACCUGGGGAGUACGCCGGCAACGGUG
This 539-nucleotide ribosomal RNA is filed under the name uncultured bacterium. Its description in RNAcentral is "bacterial SSU rRNA". It matches the Rfam family "Bacterial small subunit ribosomal RNA", at positions 356 to 896 of the family's 1533-position model. The record is from RNAcentral.